RNAcentral lists this ribosomal RNA (746 nucleotides) under uncultured Glomeromycotina. RNAcentral describes it as "eukaryotic LSU rRNA". It matches the Rfam family "Eukaryotic large subunit ribosomal RNA", at positions 37 to 633 of the family's 3401-position model. The record is from RNAcentral. Lineage: Eukaryota; Fungi; Glomeromycota.
UGCAUAUCAAUAAGCGGAGGAAAAGAAACUAACAAGGAUUCCCCUAGUAACGGCGAGUGAAGAGGGAAGAGCUCAAAUUUUAAAUCCGCUUGUUCGCAAGGCCGAGUUGUAAUUUGAAGAAGCGUUUUCUUGGGCUCGCUGCCGGUAGAAGUUCUUUGGAACAGGGCAUCAUAGAGGGUGACAAUCCCGUCUGUGACCGGUCGCGCGGUUCAUCUACGAUACGCUUUCAAAGAGUCGAGUUGUUUGGGAUUGCAGCUCCAAACGGGUGGUAAACAUCACCUAAGGCUAAAUAUUGGCGAGAGACCGAUAGCGAACAAGUACCGUGAGGGAAAGAUGAAAAGAACUUUGAAAAGAGAGUUAAACAGUACGUGAAAUUGUUGAAAGGGAAACGAUUGAAGUCAGUCGUGCUGGCGCGAAAUCAGCUCGACCACUAGGGGAUCACGGGCCGUGACGAGCCUCAAAACUGCCACGACUUGUGAUUGCUUAGUGGCCUGGUGCACUUUCGUGUCAGCUGGUUAACAUCAAUUUCGAUCGUCAUAAAAAGGCUGGAGGGACGUGGCUCCUUCGGGAGUGUUAUAACCUUUGGCGGAGUGUGGUGGUCGGGAUUGAGGUUUGCAACGAAUACCUUCAGGGCUGCUCCACCUGGCCUCUCAUCGGCAUCCUGGCGGCGACAGCUUGCUGACGUUGUUAGGAUCAGCCUUCGAACAGGCUAGAGUGUGAGCAAAUUCGUUAAGGAUGUUGACGUA